CUACGGGAGGCAGCAGUGAGGAAUAUUGCACAAUGGGGGGAACCCUGAUGCAGCAACGCCGCGUGGAGGAUGACGCAUUUCGGUGUGUAAACUCCUUUUAUAUGUCAAGAAAAUGACGGUAGCAUAUGAAUAAGCACCGGCUAACUCCGUGCCAGCAGCCGCGGUAAUACGGAGGGUGCAUGCGUUACUCGGAAUCACUGGGCGUAAAGGACGCGUAGGCGGGUUGGAAAGUCAGGUGUGAAAUCCUACAGCUUAACUGUAGAACUGCACUUGAAACUUCUAAUCUAGAGUAUGGGAGGGGGAGAUGGAAUUAGUGGUGUAGGGGUAAUAUCCGUAGAUAUCACUAGGAAUACCUAAAGCGAAGGCGAUCUCCUGGAACAUUACUGACGCUAAGGCGUGAAAGCGUGGGGAGCAAACAGGAUUAGAUACCCUUGUAGUC
Molecule: ribosomal RNA, 439 nt
Filed under: uncultured bacterium
Lineage: Bacteria
Description: partial 16S ribosomal RNA
Rfam family: Bacterial small subunit ribosomal RNA
Source: RNAcentral